This 1017-nucleotide long non-coding RNA is filed under the name Salmo salar (Atlantic salmon). RNAcentral's name for it is "lncRNA (ENSSSAG00000105063.1)". Lineage: Eukaryota; Metazoa; Chordata; Actinopteri; Salmoniformes; Salmonidae. The record is from RNAcentral.
GUCUAGGUCAUGGAAAGAGCAGGGGUAUUCUGUACCGUAGGCUGAACGACUUCACUUCUGUCAUUGAGGACCUGGUCCUGGCUGUGGAGCUGAGUGAGGGCUUGAGUCCAGGGGGCGGAGCCGAGCGGACACACCCAGGAAAAACCGAGGGCCGUGCAGGAGGCGGCCCAGCCCCAGCUGGUGCUCACCUUUAACGACUUUGCCGUGCCGUGCUUCUUCCCAUAGCUUCUACGCCGAGGAAGCCAUGCUGCUCAGCAAGGCCGUCCAGGAGCAGAAGGAGGAAAGCGGUCUCCACAUUAACAGAGGAGGAAGUACCAUGAGGCAGCUCUGACAAGUUCUCUGAGGCCAUCAAGUAGAACCCUGGAGUCAGCCAGUACUAUGAGAACUGGGCCAAAGCCCCACCGUAAAGUGCCCAACGUGGAGGGGGCCAAGCAGGAUGCCAUCAGUACCCUUCUCCUGGACCCCACUAAUGAUCAUGCAAGACCCUCAACGCCUGUACUGUUUGUCUCAUCCACUCUAUCCAUAAUACUGAGCUGUUAUAGCUAGGGCCUAAUGUGGACCAAGGACCCUAGUUAUGCAAGUACUAAGCUCUCACCACUUGUUUCCAAUGCAGAUUGGGGGGGAAAAAAACAUGAUUUUUCUAAGUAUGUGAACAGGUUAUUCUUUCUUUUAACACACAUUUCAUUUUAUGUAAUACAUGUUUCAUAAAGUGGUGUGAAACUCCCACUUGGUGCAGAACUGACUACUGUAGUAAAUCUGUCCCUCUGUCUGCACGUGUGUGUUUCCAGUUUUAAUGUCACAUGGACAGGUACAGUGAAAUGUCUUUCUUGCAACCAACAAAGCAGUAAUCAUUAACAAUGUAAUACAACAAAUAACAUGGUAGAACAAAAAGAAACGAGAUAAACAUAAAAAAUAAGAAGAACACAAUAAAGUAAGUAAGCAUACUAUAUAAAGGGUCAGUGCCAAUACCAUAUUAACAAUGUGCAGGGAUACUGGAUUGAUAUAGGUAGAUAUAUA